Molecule: ribosomal RNA, 253 nt
Filed under: uncultured bacterium
Lineage: Bacteria
Description: partial 16S ribosomal RNA
Rfam family: Bacterial small subunit ribosomal RNA
Source: RNAcentral
GACAGAGGCCUCAAGCGUUAGGCGGAAUCACUGGGCGUAAAGCGCGCGCAGGCGGCCUUUUAAGUCUGAUGUGAAAGCCCACGGCUCAACCGUGGAAGGUCAUUGGAAACUGAAAGGCUUGAGUACAGAAGAGGAAAGCGGAAUUCCACGUGUAGCGGUGAAAUGCGUAGAGAUGUGGAGGAACACCAGUGGCGAAGGCGGCUUUCUGGUCUGUAACUGACGCUGAGGCGCGAAAGCGUGGGGAGCAAACAGG